AACAAUUUAUUAAAAUUUAGGAGCAGGAUCCACCCACAUUUAAGGUUUUAGGUAGUUCUACACCAAAUAAUUGAGCCCAGAUUUGGAUUAAGUUUUUUUAAAAAUAAUUUUUCUAAUUAGUUUUCAAUUACAGUCCAAUAAUAGCCUCAUUAUAACAAUACCAAUUUAUGAUACAAUUAUUAAUACCAAUCACUCAAAUACCAAAUUAUAUAAUUUAGAUAAAGUGGCCCCCGCAUGCUAGAUUUGAUGAUUUUCUAUAUUUCUAUAUUCCAAAAUCAUAUUAAUUUCAAUUACAUUCCGGUCAUAAUAAUAAUCCCUCAUACAACAACUUGUUCUUCAGGGGGCACGAUCUGUAAGAAUGUUUGAGUGGACAUGGACCAAACACAUGGUGGCCAAAGAUCCCCCCCCCCAUUUUUUUCUAUUAAUCAGGGUUUUUUUUAUAAGGUUUUAAAAUUUAAUCAAUGGCAUGAAGUUACAUUCUGAUGGUGGCUUGAGGCAUUCCUUUUGUAAUUUGGGACACAGUGCUUCAUGGGAACAAUGGCGUGUCCUGACAUAGCAACAUUCUCAGGACAAUCUGAAGAAGGGGAGAGAUGGUUUUCUCAGAGCCAUAUACUCCAGUAGGAUGAGUUAAGCAUGUGUUUAAACAAUUCUGUUUAUCUCAUUGGGAACGAUUACAAGUACUUAUGGUUGGGUCGUGUUUUUUGUUGUUUGUGUAGCCUUGUAAUUUAAACCUCUAAAAUGAAAGUUCAACAAGAUUCAAAAUUCAAAAAGCUGAACUGAAAUUAUGUUAUGGAAUCAUAGAAUCUUAGAGUUGGAAGUGACCCCAAGGAUCAUCUAAUCAAAUUCCCUGCAAUGCUGGAAUCUCCGCUAAAGCAUCCACGACAGAUGGCCAUCCAACCUCUGUUUAAAAACCUCCAAGGAAGGGGAGUCCACCACCUCUCGUGGGAGUCUGUUCCACUGCUGAACAGCUCUUACUAUCAGAAAGUUUUUCCAAAUGUUUAGUUGGAGUCUCCCUUCUUGAAGCCAUUGGUUUGAGUUCUACCCUCCAGAGCAGAAGAAAACAAGCGUGCUCCCUCCCUUCAGAUAUUUGAAGAUGGCUAUCAUAUCUCCUCUCAGUCCCCUCUUUUCCAGGCUAAAUAUACCCAGCGCUGUUUCCAGGCUAAAUAUACCCAUAAGGCUGUUUCCGGACCCUUGAUCAUCUUGGUCCCCCUCAUCUGCACAUGUUCCUGCUUGUCAACAUACAUCUUAAAUUGUGGUGCCCAGAAUUGGACACAGUAUUCCAGGUGUGGUCUGACAAAGGCAAAAUAGAGUGAUACUAUGACUUCCCUUGGCGGGACGUGGGUGGCGCUGUGGGUAAAACCUCAGCGCCUAGGACUUGCUGAUCGCAUGGUCGGUGGUUCGAAUCCCCGCGGCGGGGCGAGCUCCCGUCGUUCGGUCCCAGCUCCUGCCCACCUAGCAGUUCGGAAGCACCCUUAAGUGCAAGUAGAUAAAUAGGUACCGCUUUAUAGUGGGAAGGUAAACGGCGUUCCGUGUGCUGCUCUGGUGCCGGUUCGCCAGAGCAGCUUCGUCACGCUGGCCACGUGACCCGGAAGUGUCUGCGGACAGCGCUGGCUCCCGGCCUCUAGAGUGAGAUGAGCGCACAACCCUAGAGUCUCUCAAGACUGGCCCGUAUGGGCAGGGGUACCUUUACCUUUACCUUUAUGACUUCCCUUGAACUGAACACUAUACUUCUGUUGAUGCAGCUUUUCUUUGCUGCUGUAUCGUGCUAUUGACUCAUCUUAAGAUUGUGGUCAACCAUGACCCCUAGAUUCUUUUCACAUGUACUGCUAGUAAGCCAGGUGUCCCCCAUCCUAUAUUUGUGCAUCUGCUUCUUCCUGUCUACGUGCAGAAUCUUACAUUUGUCCCUAUUGAAAUUCAUUUUGUUAGCUUGUGCCCAGUUCUCCAAUCUGUUAAGGUCAUUUUGAAUUCUGAUUCUGUCUUUAGCUACCCCUCCCAGUUUGGUGUCAUCUGCAAAUUUGAUGAGCAUCCCCUCAAUUCCUUCAUCCAAGUCAUCUAUAAAGACUUUGAACAACAAUGGGCCCAGGACAGAAGCCUGUGGCACCCCACUUGUCACCUUUCCCCUGGAUGAUGAGGAACCAUUAAUGAAUACUCUUUGGGUUCAGUCAGUCAACCAGCUACAAAUCCACCUAACAGUUACCGUAUUUUUCACUCCAUAAGACACACUUUUUCCCUCCUAAAAAGUAAGGGGAAAUGUCUGUGCGUCUUAUGGAGCAUAUGCGUAGUCCCUGGAGCCCAGGGGUGAAAAGCAGAUCGUGCUUUUUUUUUAGAAAGUGGGAAGGGGGUGUUGAAACGAAGCCGCUGAUAGGCAAGCGAUCGGGAGGGAGAUAAGGGACGCUAGCAAUAAAGAAGGCUGCCUGGGAGGGGGAAGGUAAAGACAGCAAACUUGCAAGGAGAGGAGACAGGAAUACUAAAACAAGCAACGAGGAGAGAAAUUAGAAGAAAAGGAGGAGCAAAAAACUGCUCCAGCUAAAGAAAUGACGCUAAGGCAAACAAGAAGGAAGCCACUGAUCAGCAAGUGAUCAGGAGGGAGAUAAGGGUUGCUAGCAAUAAAGGAGGCUGCCUGGGAGGGGGUGGUAAAAGCACAUGGAUCCUCAGGAUUUUUGCAUUGGGUCACCCCAAAUUCACCAUCAGAUCACAUAGCAUGUCCAUGGCUACAGCCUGCACCAAAGAAAUCAUGCACCCACUGUUGCGUGGGGCCGCAGUGGCGCAAAAACGUGGCUACAAAGCCACAAAGGAUUCUCAGGAUUUUUACAUUGGGCUACCCCAAACUCACUGUCAAAUCACAUAUCAUGUCUGUGGCCACAGCAUAAGCCACAAAAAUCAUACAUCCACUGUUUCAUUCAGAAUAUUUUUUUUCUUGUUUUCCUUCUCUAAAAACUAGGUGUGUCUUAUGGUCAGGUGUGUCUUAGGGAGCGAAAAAUACGGUACCUGGUUCAACCAACCUUUUACCAGCUUCCUCGAGAGAAUAGAAAGGGGGACUUUGUCAUGACUUACUGUUUUUAUGCCCGUUCUGGAGUUGUGCAAACUUUUGUAGAUGUGCAGAAUUUUUGUUUAAGGCUUUAAAGAGAUAGGUUGCUACCUUCAAGCUUAUUAACACUAGGAUCUUUGGCACCUUGCAGAGGGGUAUUUGUGUCCUCUCCCUAGCUUCCUCCAAUGCCUUCCUGUCCCAUGCAUUAGUGCAAGAAAGUACAGAGGCAGGAAGCUCAAUUUUUAAAAAUCUGGAUCAAACUAGUACACUGUAAACCCACAAUUAUGUUGUCCUCUGGUGCUUUGGCUACAUAUUUUAGAUUAUUGGAGAGCACUUUAUAGUUUUGAGGUCACUUUAUAUUGUUUUUCAAAGCUAAGCACAGGUCAGUCCUACUCAGCCUUUUCCUUUGCACUCAUCGUUAUGAUGAUCUUGCUAGAUGAUGGGGGGACAUACUGGAAUAUCACAAAAUUCCUAUAGAGUGUUAUUUUUGCUCAGGAAAGGAUAGAUAGAUAACUCCAAAAAUAGCUAGUCCUUUUGUUAUUGAAGCUUACUUUAAGAGUCUUGCUUUAAGAGUCAAAGACUUCCCCAAUGGUUGAAUACCUGUUUGAUUGGGCUGGGGGGUUGUGCACCCAGAAAGAAGGCUGGAAAAUAUGCUGGACUGAAGCAUAUAUUUUUGAGGGUUGCCAUGCAUGGAGAUCAAAGCCGUGGAAUAUUGGUUGUAAUAUUCUAUUAAUGUUUCCCAUGAUGCCAUUUGCAAUAUUUAGAGCUUCCAAGCCAGUCUGUCAAUACAGAUAUUUCUAUAGUCUCAGGCUGUAAAUGUGCGACACUUUUUACAAUGUCAAUUUUUUACAAGUUUGUGGGGCCUGGAUUUUCAGGGUGAGUGAAACUUUCAUACAAAUAAAUAAUACUUCCUAAAGCAUCAAUCUGUAAUUUUGUACAAGGUGUGGGUGCAAAAAGUUUAAGGUCCUGAUCCAGCAACUCCAAUGCACAAUUGGGCUUCAAUACAAACCCUGGAGUUCUGCAUUCAUUCCCAUGUCAGGAAAAGCUCUGCAUACCUCAUAUGAAACUUCUCUACUUUUAACUAUUUGGGUAGUUUCCUGUCUAUGGAGCUUCAGAUAAUGAUGAAAGUAUCAGAUCCUUGCAACUUCUUAAUUAAGUUGCUGGGAGGGGAAUCACUGUUUUUAUGCCCACAUUAGAAUCAUAGAAUCAUAGUUGGAAGGGACCCAAGGAUCAUCUAGUCCAACCUCCUGCAAUGCAGGAAUAUUGGUAUGGGCAUGGCUAUUAAAUGCAACUCAGAUUGCUAUAACGCCUCAAAUAUGGGCAUGGAGAGCAAAGAAAGUCUUAUUUAUAGCCUAAGAGAGAAAAAGUAACUGUUUCUACUUAAGUAAAUAUGCCCAUUGCUGCUGAAUGUAACUUUUAAUAAACUUUUUCUCUUUUUAU
This 4468-nucleotide long non-coding RNA is filed under the name Podarcis lilfordi (Lilford's wall lizard). Lineage: Eukaryota; Metazoa; Chordata; Lepidosauria; Squamata; Lacertidae. The record is from RNAcentral.